UACGUAGGGUGCAAGCGUUGUCCGGAAUUAUUGGGCGUAAAGAGCUCGUAGGCGGUUUGUUGCGUCGGCUGUGAAAUCCCGAGGCUCAACCUCGGGUUCUGCAGUCGAUACGAGCAAACUAGAGUGUUGCAGGGGAGACUGGAAUUCCUGGUGUAGCGGUGAAAUGCGCAGAUAUCAGGAGGAACACCGGUGGCGAAGGCGGGUCUCUGGGCAACACUGACGCUGGAGGAGCGAAAGCGUGGGGAGCGAACAGG
This 254-nucleotide ribosomal RNA is filed under the name uncultured bacterium. RNAcentral describes it as "partial 16S ribosomal RNA". It matches the Rfam family "Bacterial small subunit ribosomal RNA", at positions 524 to 776 of the family's 1533-position model. The record is from RNAcentral.